Paralichthys olivaceus (Japanese flounder) is the source of this 2624-nucleotide non-coding RNA. NCBI's taxonomy places the organism in Eukaryota, Metazoa, Chordata, Actinopteri, Pleuronectiformes, Paralichthyidae. The record is from RefSeq and is a predicted model, not a curated record.
GCUUUACACACAUUUUGCAAUUGAAAAUGUCACUUUGUAAAUGCACUGAACACGGUUCUCUGCAUGAGACACAACAAUCUGACAUAAAGUCACAUGCUUGCCAUUUCAAAACACUGCCAUUCAAAAUGACACUACAUGAGAUAACUGGUCAAUAUAUGUGCCACCUGGCCGAACACCUCAAUGGUUAAUGGUUACCACUUCUAUCAGGAAGUAAGCAGAUGAAAAGACCACAGUGGAUUUAAAGCUCCUCAGCCAUGUGCUGUCCUGGGUGGCUACAGACACCGACUGACAGGGGUGGAGUACCAUCACGCUGCCAUCCAGACCCUGCCCAAGAGGAAAACUGACAGAGGAGUGGUCGUCUUCAGCCGGGAUACACAGACAGUGGAGCUGAAGUCUCAGGCAGAGCAGUGUCCACUCAGUGUCUCAACCCAGAUGAGAGGGAUCGGCUGCUACGUCUCCUGUAUCAACGACAAGCUGGUCGCCCCUGGCAACUACAUCACUGCUGCUGAGUACCACGAUAAGAGGCUGAGAGCUGCACCAAGGUGGUUGGCCCGGCAGGCGGUGGACCAGCUGAGGAAAGAGCGGGACCGGCGGCUGGCCUGGCUGGAGGUGCAGAAGAGUAGGGGGACACAGGAGAAGGAGGAGCAGCUGAGAGACCGCCAACGACGCUGGAUGAACCCGUAGAGGAAGGAAGACUUAAAUCUGAUGUACCACGCCCUGGAGAAGGGGAGGUGUGAGGAGGAGCAGCAGAUCAAUUCAUCCAUGCGAGGGGCUGAGAGGAAGGCAGCUCUCUGCUUGCUGCUGGACCAGGAGACUCAGUUCAUCGCAGCCAUCGGACGCCAUCGCAUCGCCUAUUCCUCCUGUCCUGACUUUUUCCAGCAAAACAAAGAGGUUUUUAUGUCCAUUGAGAUAUGCACUCAAAUUGUAGUUUCACUUUUUGAGUCUCAUCCAAAUAGUAAAAUAUGAAAUAUCUAGGUAAUUAAAUCGGGGGGCUGUGGCUCAGGGGGUAGAGCCGGUUGGCCACUGACCUCUGGGUCAAAUAUGCAAAUUAUGAUCCAAUCUACUUUUCUAUAUACAUUAAUACUUUUUACGACAUAACAUUUCAGAAAAUAGCAGUGGGUGUAGUUGAAGAAAUAGAAGAGGUUAAGGAGUGAGAGAAGCUGUAGUAGCAGAAGCUGUAGUAGUAAGAAGAUGUAUUAAUACAAGUAUCAGAAGUAGUUGUUGCUUAAUAAUGCUACCACUAGUUAACUUAUAAGAAAAGUAGUCAUAGAACUAUUUGUAUCAAUUGUUUAAGGAAAAAUGUAGUAAAAAUUAAACCUCAACCAGCUCACUGUAGCAGCGGGGGCUGGGACUCAUCAUAAGUGAUGUUUUCAAUCGUGACAACAGAUUCUCCAGGUCGUGACCCUCAUACUGAGUCUUUCUGAGUCCAUCAGAGCCAGAGAGCUGCAAGAUCUGUACAACAAUGUCAACCAGCCUGCUGUGAGCCAGGAGCAGCGUCCUGAUGACACUCAAACACACCGUCAAGGUACCACACACUCACUGCUGUUGAAAAAGAGAAAGUUCAUUAAACAAAAAGUUAGCAGGACUUAUUCAUUUCACACUCAGAUAUUGUAAUUUUCCCCCCCAGGUCAAUUUUUGUCUUUAAUUUUGUACAUGUGAUUAUAUUCUUGUUCUUGUCCACUUAAUGUGCAUUAUUUCACUUCCAAAAUGUGCGUAUGCUUACUCUUCAUGUACAUAAAGGUAGACUAUUGUAGGAUCCGACCACGUAAGCCUUUUGAGGUUAUUGUGUAUAAAACAGUAAGUCUGAGCAGAUCCUGUAUCAUCUGCUUAUUUUCACUCUGUUAGUCAUUCGGAUCAGUUAUUUGAUGUAUUCAUGGAUGUCACUUCUUGGUCUUCCAUACAAGCAAAUUGCAUGGCUCCCACCGUCGGUGUUUCACACACAAUACCUCAGAAACCAUAGUAUUAUGACAGUAUUUAAAUCUUGCCAUCUUGUUGUUAAAUCAAUCGUUUUAAGAGACUUGUCUGAUAAAGGCUCUCGUAUUUUUACCAGGACCACCCAAAUAUGUUCCACAAUUUAAACAAGUAGAAAAACUAAAAAAUAUGAAUCUUUUAUAUUUUCAAUUUGUAUUUUAGUAUCACUGGUUAUGGAUUAUAUUUGUGUGAUUAAUGUUUUUGUUUUACUAAUACCUGUAGUGUCAAGAUGCAUCAUUUCUCCAAGUGUUUUUCAAGGUUUAUUGGUUUUAUCACAUUGAAUGAACAUUAAAUUGAUAACUGUCAUGUUCUGUUAGCUGACAAAUCUUCAACUGUAAUGGACAACUUUGUUUCUAUCGACAAAAAACAGUAUUUUCAAUUGGUGUUGCCUUUAAUACAUAGUGUUGGGUUACUCAAUUGAUCUUGUUUUUUUUGUAAGUCUCCUCUUUUCUAUAGAAUGUUUUGGUUGCUGCACUUUAGUUACCUUAAACAUUCAGUAGACGUUGUACAGAAUAUCAACUUAAAAUGGUGAACCGAGGUUUCGGUAAAGAGGAGUUUAACUUACAGGAUUCGACUGUCAUCCAUGCUGCUGUUACAUUAAAUUACAUUGUUCUGUAUUUGAGAUUAUGUUGAAUUUCCAUUAAAACAAUAUU